CGAGAAAGCCCGCAAGGGUGAGUAAAGCGGCGCACGGGUGCGUAACACGUGGGUAAUCAUCCUUGGAGCCCGGAAUAACUCCCCGAAAGGGGUGCUAAUACCGGAUGAGACCACGGGAUCUUCGGAUCCUGAGGGAAAAGGCGGCCUCUGUACACAAGCUGUCACUCCAAGAUGAGCCCGCGGCCCAUCAGCUUGUUGGCGGGGUAAUGGCCCACCAAGGCUACGACGGGUAGCUGGUCUGAGAGGACGAUCAGCCACACUGGAACUGAGACACGGUCCAGACUCCUACGGGAGGCAGCAGUGGGGAAUCUUGCGCAAUGGGCGAAAGCCUGACGCAGCAACGCCGCGUGUGUGAUGAAGGUCUUCGGAUCGUAAAGCACUGUCGCGAGGGACG
RNAcentral lists this ribosomal RNA (394 nucleotides) under uncultured Anaeromyxobacter sp. RNAcentral's name for it is "bacterial SSU rRNA". It matches the Rfam family "Bacterial small subunit ribosomal RNA", at positions 67 to 447 of the family's 1533-position model. The record is from RNAcentral. Lineage: Bacteria; Pseudomonadati; Myxococcota; Myxococcia; Myxococcales; Anaeromyxobacteraceae.